AACAGCUCAAAUUUGAAAUCUGGCCCUCGGGUCCGAGUUGUAAUUUGCAGAGGAUGCUUUGGGCGCGGUGCCUUCCGAGUUCCCUGGAACGGGACGCCUUAGAGGGUGAGAGCCCCGUACGGUUGGACACCAAGCCCCUGUAAAGCUCCUUCGACGAGUCGAGUAGUUUGGGAAUGCUGCUCUAAAUGGGAGGUAAAUUUCUUCUAAAGCUAAAUACCGGCCAGAGACCGAUAGCGCACAAGUAGAGUGAUCGAAAGAUGAAAAGCACUUUGAAAAGAGGGUUAAAUAGCACGUGAAAUUGUUGAAAGGGAAGCGUUUGCGACCAGACCUUUUCCUGGCGGAUCAUCCGGUGUUCUCACCGGUGCACUUCGCCAGGUCGAGGCCAGCAUCGGUUUCCGCGGGGGGAUAAAAGCUCUGGGAACGUAGCUCCUCCGGGAGUGUUAUAGCCCUCUGCACAAUACCCUCGCGGGGACCGAGGACCGCGCCCUCUGGGCAAGGAUGCUGGCGUAAUGGUCGUCAACGACCCGUCUUGAAACACGGACCAAGGAGUCGAACAUUUGUGCGAGUGUUUGGGUGUCAAACCCUCACGCGUAAUGAAGGUGAACGUAGGUGAGAGCCCUUACGGGCGCAUCAUCGACCGAUCCUGAUGUCUUCGGAUGGAUUUGAGUAGGAGCAUAACUGUUCGGACCCGAAAGAUGGUGAACUAUGCGUGGAUAGGGUGAAGCCAGAGGAAACUCUGGUGGAGGCUCGCAGCGGUUCUGACGUGCAAAUCGAUCGUCAAAUCUGCGCAUGGGGGCGAAAGACUUAUCGAACCAUCUAGUAGCUGGUUACCGCCGAAGUUUCCCUCAGGAUAGCAGUGUUGUUCUUCAGUUUUAUGAGGUAAAGCGAAUGAUUAGGGACUCGGGGGCGCUUUUUUGCCUUCAUCCAUUCUCAAACUUUAAAUAUGUAAGAAGCCCUUGUUGCUUAGUUGAACGUGGGCAUUCGAAUGUACCAACACUAGUGGGCCAUUUUUGGUAAGCAGAACUGGCGAUGCGGGAUGAACCGAACGCGGGGUUAAGGUGCCGGAGUGGACGCUCAUCAGACACCACAAAAGGUGUUAGCACAUUUAGACAAUAGGACGGUGGCCAUGGAAGUCGGAAUCCGCUAAGGACUGUGUAACAACUCACCUAUCGAAUGUGCUAGCCCUGAAAAUGGAUGGCGCUCAAGCGUCCCACCCAUACCUCGCCCUCA
RNAcentral lists this ribosomal RNA (1230 nucleotides) under fungal sp. Its description in RNAcentral is "eukaryotic LSU rRNA". It matches the Rfam family "Eukaryotic large subunit ribosomal RNA", at positions 103 to 1357 of the family's 3401-position model. The record is from RNAcentral. Lineage: Eukaryota; Fungi.